This 253-nucleotide ribosomal RNA is filed under the name uncultured bacterium. Its description in RNAcentral is "partial 16S ribosomal RNA". It matches the Rfam family "Bacterial small subunit ribosomal RNA", at positions 524 to 776 of the family's 1533-position model. The record is from RNAcentral.
UACAGAGGAGCCAAGCGUUGUCCGGAUUGACUGGGCGUAAAGCGCACGCAGGCGGUCUGGCGCGUGGGGUGUGAAAUCUGGCCGCUUAACGGCCAGGCGCCAUCCCAUACGGCUAGACUGGAGGGCUGCAGAGGUCGAUGGAAUUGCCGGUGUAGUGGUGGAAUGCGUAGAGAUCCGGAGGAACACCAGCGGCGAAGGCGGCGUCCUGGACUGGUACUGACGCUCAGGAGCGAAAGCGUGGGGAGCGAUCCGG